RNAcentral lists this ribosomal RNA (433 nucleotides) under uncultured bacterium. RNAcentral describes it as "partial 16S ribosomal RNA". It matches the Rfam family "Bacterial small subunit ribosomal RNA", at positions 29 to 507 of the family's 1533-position model. The record is from RNAcentral.
AACGAACGCUGGCGGCAUGCCUAACACAUGCAAGUCGAACGAGACCUUCGGGUCUAGUGGCGCACGGGUGCGGAACGCGUGGGAACCUGCCCUUAGGUUCGGAAUAACUCCCCGAAAGGGGUGCUAAUACCGGAUAAUGUCUUCGGACCAAAGAUUUAUCGCCUUUGGAUGGGCCCGCGUUGGAUUAGCUAGUUGGUAGUGUAAAAGCCUACCAAGGCGACGAUCCAUAGCUGGUCUGAGAGGAUGAUCAGCCACGCUGGGACUGAGACACGGCCCAGACUCCUACGGGAGGCAGCAGUGGGGAAUAUUGGACAAUGGGCGAAAGCCUGAUCCAGCAAUGCCGCGUGAGUGAUGAAGGCCUUAGGGUUGUAAAGCUCUUUUACCCGGGAUGAUAAUGACAGUACCGGGAGAAUAAGCUCCGGCUAACUCCGUG